UAUGCUGCAGGGUGUGGCUCCAAAAAGUUAAAAAAAAAAAAAAGUUAUUUUUAUGUCGUCAAAUUUAUCAAUCUUUCCUUUUAUUACUCUUGGAUCAAGUCACAGUUUGAAAGCUUUUCCCUGUAUUCAGGUUAAAAAGGAAUUUAAACAUCUUUUUUUGGUUUCUUUUUCUUUUCUUUUUUUUCAUUUAGAUCUCUGAUCAGGUUUGAGUUUCUUCCUGUGCAUGAAAUGAGACAGGUUGGGCAAUAGGCUGCUAAAGGACGUGCCAGAGAAUCGGUGACUUCAGAGACACAGGAGUGUGUGCCAAGGGAUAGGAUACUCUCUGGGGUAUCCAGUGAAGCUUGCCUUCUCCACCAGGUCCUGGAUCCUGCUCCUACCCAAAGAACCUCCUUUCUAAGAGAAGUUUGAUGUGGAAUCUCAGUUCCCAGACCAGGUAUUGAACCUGGGCCACAGUGGUGAAAGUGCUGAGUCCUAACCACUAGACCGCUGGAGACCUCCCUAUUAAUACCAAGUAUGUAUUGUCAAAGCCAUAGACAAAUAAACAAUCUCACACAAUAUAGGUGGAAGUGUAAAUUAGUUCAAUGUUUUGGAGGAUUAUUUUAUAGUAUUGUAACUUUUAAAUGCACAUGCCCUUUCAUCCAAUAUUUAAAAUUCAAGGAAUUGAUCAUAUAACUUUAUACAUUUAUGAGGGUAUUUACAUGUGUAAAGAUAUGUGAUAGUCAUAAUAGCUUCUAUUUAUUAGUUCCUUACUAUGAGCCAGGUACUGUGCCAAGCAAUUUGUUUUGAUCAUAUUACUUAAAUUUCUCAGUAGCCCUAGAGGCUGGUACUAUUAACAUCUCCAUUUUAUAGAAGAGAAAACCAAGGCGCAAACAAGUAAUUAGCCUAAAAUUACACAGGAGAGACCCAGGAUUUGAACCCAAAGGGUUUAUCUUCAGAACUUUCGCUUCUAAUAAUUCACUAUUCAAUUACAAAUGAUUAAAAUAAAGCUGAAAUAAAUAUAUUUAUAAAUAUGUAUGCACAUAUGUAAAUUUGUUCACAUACGUUUGCAUAUAUUCAUAUAGACAAGUGAAUUAUAUGUACAUAUUCACAUGCACCAUUCAUACAUAUACACAAGAUGUGUACUGCACCUUGUUGGUAAUGGGAAAAUCCUGAAGAACCUAAAUGUUACAAAUAGAGGAACAGCGAAAUAAAUUAUGGUGCCUCCAUAUAAUGGCAUUUCAGGUAACUAUUAAAUGAGAUCACCUUAUGGAAGCCAUGAUACAGAAGAUAUUCAAGACACUCUAAAUUUUAUUUAAUUAAUUAAUUAAUUUAUUUUUUUGGUCUUUUUUCCAGACACACCUGCAUCAUAUGAAAGUUCCUGGGCUAGGGGUCCAAACGG
Molecule: non-coding RNA, 1378 nt
Organism: Sus scrofa (pig)
Lineage: Eukaryota; Metazoa; Chordata; Mammalia; Artiodactyla; Suidae
Source: RefSeq, a predicted model, not a curated record